Molecule: long non-coding RNA, 1053 nt
Organism: Onychostoma macrolepis
Lineage: Eukaryota; Metazoa; Chordata; Actinopteri; Cypriniformes; Cyprinidae
Exons: 4
Source: RefSeq, a predicted model, not a curated record
UUCAAAUCUGAAAUCCAGCGACUGGAGCAGUGCCAGAACGAUUGAAGAUUAGAGGCUUUAUUCAUAAUUCCUGGUGCAAAGAAUAGCAGCUGAUGUGGAGAAAUGUUUGAUGCUUCAAGACUCUCUGAAGCUGAUUAUAUUAGGUGCACCCAGUGGCUUUUGACUAGGCCUAUUCGAGGGUCACAUGGUUGUGAAUUCAUACCUCAACUUUGCGGCUGGAUUUUCAGUCUUAUUACAACUUCAGCCUGGCAUCCCGGGAGCAGGCGUCUUUUGCACACUUUAAUUAAUUUCAAAGAUGUUUUGUUGGAAACACAACACUUACUGGAUACAAGACGGAUACAUAGAGGCAAAACAAGUGGAAAGGUCUCAGAGAAGAGGGACAACCCUCAUGUGUGUGCUCAUCUCAGAAAGUUGAUGGACUUUCAGUAUGUAUUUAUUAAAUUGUCUUUUGCAGGAAUAUUCUAAAUUUAAUAUAACAUAAGCUCAAACAACAGAAUUUGUGGUAUAAUGUUGAUUCCAGCAUUUUAUUUUAAUCCUUUAACCAAAAUUAUACAAAUUCUGUUGAUUGACCUUAAUUUUUUUAUAGAAAGUAAAUGUUCUACUCAGAAUAUGGCAUAUUUUUUUUUUAUAUAACAGUUAGUUGUAGUUAUUUUGUGAUGCUAUGUUAUUUUUAUGAUAAGAUUUUAACUGUUGAAAGACUGACAUUUUUAUUUUUACCAGUAAAAGCCUUGCAAUGUCUUUCUGCCAGUUUUAAUAAAUAUUUAUUUGCAACAUCUUUGACUUGGUUUUUAUUCAUUUGUAAAUGUAUUAAGAUAGUUCUCAUGAUAAUUCAUUUAAAUCAGUAUUUUACAGUUUACUGUUAAAAUUAUUCUUUGCAGCAUUUUCAUUGUUAAAUUAUUACAACAUCAUCUUGGAUUUAGGGGUAUUUACAGGAUUUUAUUGGCAACUUUUGUUGCCAGGUAAAUACUGUACUUUCGUGAGAUUACAAAAUAUUGCUGUAAUAUAAACUACAAGUUUAAUUCAAUGUUACUGUAAAAAAUACUACAAAUUACU